GAGAGUUCUGGAGCUGUGCUAACAGCACUCACAAUCAAUGAAUAAAGUUUGCUGUAUUGUUUUUUUUUUAAAAAAAAGCGCGAAGAAAUCUCCAAAUCGCAUGAUGGUCCGGGAAACCGUAGCAUCUCGAUCGCUUGAACACUGCAUUUUAUUCCUCCAUCAUCAUAAACAUGACAUCCAACCUAGACAUCGAGCAUGCAGUACAUCCUUCACUCCGAUCAAGAAAGACGCAUACAGUACAGCAUACUACACUGCAUGUACCAACAAGACGACACACAUGCACAUACAAAUAAAGCACAACACAUAUAACGACUAGCUAGAGCUAGCACGGCGACCAAGACUCUACGGCAGCGUAUAGUACGUACGUAGCAGCAGCGGCAGCCGUAGGGCCAUGCCGCGCCGGCGGUGGUCGCGCGCCGCCGCCGUACGUACGCCACCCCGCGCGCGCGGUAUCCAGGAGCAGGAUGACACGCGGUCCGCUCUCGCGCGUGUGCAUCUCAAGACCCCUGCGCCUGGUCGAUGCGGUGCUGCGCUGCGUCCUUGAUGUCGCGGGCCUUGGACGCCAGCCUCGCCUUGGCGUGGUCCAGCUGGUCGGCGCCCGGCGGGUGCUUGCCCGUCAGGUACUUGUACAUCCAGGAGAAGACGGACAGCGCGGCGACGCCGAGGCCGCCGGAGGUGACGAACCCGGCGGCCAUGAGCGCCAGCGCGAUGGCGGCCGGCACCAGCACCGGGCUGAAGAUCACCAGCACCGGGGUGGCGACCGUGAGCGCGAUCACGGUGCCCGCCAGGAUCAGCCCGGACAGCACCAGCAUCGACCCGCCGAAGGUCGCGGCCGUCGCCGCCUUGAUCGCCGUCAUCAUGGCGCCCUGCUUCUGCUGCUGCUGCUGCGACUCGCCGUACAUGCCGGCGCCGCCCCCACGGUUGUAGUCGCCGUAGCCACCCGCGCCACCUCCCGUCCCGCCCCGGUGGUGAUCCGCCAUGGCAAGCUGCUUAGCUUAGCUUAGCAGAGCGAGCUAGGUAGUACCACCACGUGCGCACACUGCCCAGAGCGCCUGCUGCAGCUGAUGCUACGGCUACGAGUGAGGUGGACGAGGGCCAGGGAGAGCGGGGCGUUUAUAGAGGGCGUGGGGAUGCGCGGAGGCGGGACCUGGCGCCGCCGCGUGGGACGCAUGCGAGACUCGUGUCCGGAGCCGCGCGACACCUGUGUAGGGGGGGUGUCGACGAGACGACAAGGCGUGCGUUGCGCGAUCGCGCCGCUUCCGCGCGGCGAUACGUACGAGGUUGUGGACGGACGCUCACUUGGAUCGGCCGCUGGUUGCCGGAGGACGGAGGUGAAGGUGACGGGGCCGAAUCUCAUGUGGGCCGUAGUCUGGGCUUUUUUUCUCUCUUGCCUUGCGUGUCUCUGAAGUCCAGUUCCGUGUCUCGCUAUUAGCAGGCUUGCAAUAGUCUGGGUCCAUGCAAUAAUUUGUGUGCCCGUUGGCCCAUUCGUUCACCUCACACCAUAUGCUCCAUUUUUCUUCUUUUUUUUAUUAAUUAAAAAAAGAAGUGUUUGGUACAGUAUGGACUUCGCCUGAUUCCGAUGCUGGCGUGUAAAGUCAGGAGGCCUUGGAAACUGAAAAGCUCUGACGAGGAUACUAGGCGAAAGGGAGACAGGAAUCAACGUUUUGGAGCCGUUCAAACCGCUGCUAGCAGCUAGCAUGCCUUGCUUUUCGAGAUGAACCACUGAAGCUAAGCUACUACUAGCAUCAAGCUGGGCACCUAAUUUCGACAUUAUUGUGUCCCUCCCCGUUCUUAUUGGACUAGGUGGAGCGGUGACACAUAAGAUCAGUUUCUUCUACCGGUCAAAAUCGAUCUUCCAGAUUUUGGCUGCAAAUUUGCUUCGCUUCAAGUGUGUUCGUGGUAAAGGGCAUGUUUGGUGAAGCUCUAUCUAAUUCUGAUUCUUGGUGAAAAGUGAUUAUGUGACUUACAGUGAUUCUCUUCGAUUCUUUAAUAUAAACUCUUAAAAUCACAGUAGAGAAUGACUACACAGAAUCAAUAGAAACUACUUUUUACAGCCUCUUAGUUCAUUUCAAAAAAUUAUUCAACACAGAAAAUCAAUUCUCUCUAAAAAAAACUCUGUUUAGCAGAGUUCUUAUUGGAUUUAGUCCACAAUAAGCUUGGGAGCUUUGCUAAUCGGGACCUAAAAUUCUCAUUGCGUAGGACAAUGCCUUCCACGUCAAACCUAUGUGGCUGGUGCCCUGCCACUCCUUUGGCAGCUUGCCCUGUGCACAGCUGCAUUUGCUUGGUGCUAUACCGUAGUACUUCGAUGGGAACAGUUCCGCUCCAAUUAAGGGCUUGUUUACUUCCAAUUUUUUUUGCAAAAUAGGAAUAGUAUCACUUUCGUUUGUAUUUGACAAAUAUUGUCCAAUUAUAGACUAACUAGGCUCAAAAGAUUCGUCUCGUCAAUUUCGACCAAACUGUGCAAUUAGUUUUUAUUUUUAUUUAUAUUUAAUACUCAAUGCAUACGUCUAAAGAUUCGAUGUGACGGAGAAUGUGAAAAAUUUUGCAAAAUUUUUGGGGAACUAAACAAGGCCUAAACCAAAUACGCCUUUUUGCAAGGAAAAAAAAAUCGAAGUACAGCCCUUUCCACUCCAAAAUGCCAAACUAAGCGUGCCUUUGUAUCGCUAGCUCUCUUCUCCUUUCCGUACCUUUUUCAUUUCAUCAUGCUAAUAAAAACACAUUAUGAGUUCAUGACCCACUCCACUAUUCAUGAAACAGUGGCCUGCUUUUGCCCCCAUGACCUGUACUCAGUCAGGUGCCAUACUGAUCGACCGGCAAGUAGGCGGAUCAUAUACACCUUUUUCUCUUUUUGAAUUUUGAUGCCCCCCUUUCCACCCAGAACCAGAAUACCCAACAAGUUGGAAAAAGAAAAAGAAAAAUAAACAUCUCAUAUAUACUACUCCCUCGGCCCGUGGCCCAAGUCCAGCUGUUGCGCAACACGACAACGCUGUGGUGGAUACUGCCUAGCUGGGAUCAGUCAUCAGUGAGGGUAAUCCUCCGCCUCCUCCUCCUCCUGUAAUCCACUGUGACGAGUGACGGACGCAUGCUUAUCCCUCUUUAGAUUACACAAGUCGAGGAUAAGCACGUACUUACGUGGGUGGGGCUCUGAUUUUUAUCUCGUUUCGUUAGGAGUAAAGACGAGCGCUCCAGCUUCUUUCAUCGCUUGCUUGUGUUGUGCUGCGUCUUUCUCCCUUUCGUCUCUCUCCAGUACCACCGCAAAGCAGCAGCAAGAUGGCGACGCUGACGCCUUCGCGCCACUUGCUCCACCGAGCUAUCCUUCGGCAGUCGGCACUCUGACAGAUUUGUUUCCUAUUUCAAAUGAGCGAACACGCAUAUGAGCCUUGUUUACUUCCACCCAAAACGAAACUAAUUACACAGUUUGAUCAGAAUUUACGAGACAAAACUUUUGAAGCUAGUUAGUCUAUAGUUAGAUAAUGAUUACUACAAACAAAUCAAAGUGCUACAAUAUCAUAAAAUUUUUCAAUGCAGGAACUAAACACGGCCAUGGUUAAACCCUUUCGUUUUGUUUUUUAUCUUUACACUCCAAAUCCAAUGUACUCGUACAUCUUCAAGCUGGAGCUGUGCUACCACCUCUCGAUAUAUCGCUGCCGUGGGCAACCCACCUUCCUACUACGUCAGCGUUUGGUUACUGCUGGGCUCUUAACAAUUUUGGUUUUAGACUUUCAGGGGGCUGAUUUACGAUUUCGGCAUGGGAUUUCGAUUUCGUGUCAUGAGUUCAGGUCGCUGUUCUGUUGACUUGCGCGCCUGUUUUUAGCCGCUGGAUAUUUAUCAGAUGAUGAUGGCGCACUCAUUGGUGGUACCAACGAACAAAGCAGAUUGUUCUUGAUCUCAUCGUCUCCCUACGUUUUUUCUUUUGUCUGUACAGUUUUUAUCAGCAGCACAUCACAACCACACCCCACCCUGACAAGUGACAACGACGCAUAUACCGAAAAAUUCGUUCGCAGACAAGACACUUGAUUACACACAGACAGCUUCUUCCGUUCCACUUGCGCGAGUUGCACGGAGGAGCAACAGCGGCAUCCGGAGCGGAGCUCGUCCGGAUCCCAAUCCAAUUGCUCCCGAGCUUAUCGCAUUCCAUCCGCUGGAGCUGUCACCGGGAUGCGCGCGCGCGCGCGCCCCCGUCGCAUUCGUGCACCGCGCAAGUGCCGCGCAGCUCCUUGUCCCGUAGGAGCCUUGGCUGGCGCAUCAUCCGUCGCGGCACGCCUCAUUGCCUCGCCGCGGUGCCCGGUGGCUGGCUGGCUGGCUCUGACCGAUCGGCGCAGGGCUAGAUGACGAGCUGCUCCACGCGCGGCGCCAUCGCCGCCUGCUCGACCGGCGCGGCAGGGAACCAAGGCUGGGCCGGCCGGUUCAGCUGGGAAGGCGGGGGCACCAGCGCCAUGGCCAUGUUGGCGGCGGCGGCCUCGCCUCGCUUCCGCCUCUUGGGCGAGCCGCUGGUCGAAGACGAGGAGGUGGUGGAGGAGCAGGACGAGAAGGACGAGUCCGAGGAGGAGGUGGCGGGCUCGGGCGACGGCCGCUUGUCCCCGGCGGUGGCCGCGGCGGCGAUCUCGGAGCCGAUGCGGAGCGGGAAGUUGAGGAGCGCGCGGGAGCCGCGCAUGCGGUAGGCGGCGCGGUCGUAGGCGAGCGCGGCGUCCUCGGCGGUGUCGUAGGUCCCGAGCCAGACGCGCGCGCCGUUCUUGGCGGGGUCCCUGAUCUCCGCCGCGAACUUGCCCCACGGCCGCUGCCUGACCCCUCGGUAGUGCUUGCCCCUGGCCACGGCCGCCGCGGCCGCCUCCCGCCUGGGCGUGGCGGCCGCCUCGCUGCUGGGCGUCAGCGGCUCCGCCGGGUCCAGGAGGAGGCCGCCGAAGCAGCAGGAGGAGCCGUCGUAGGAGUAGGAGUAGGAGUGGGAGUCCGGGGACAGCGCCGGCUCGGGCUUGACGUGCGCGAAGGAGCCGUCGGGCAGCCAGCCGUAGGCGAAGGCGUCCUGCAGCGCCCCGAACACCACCAUGUCGUCGGCGUCGUCGGUGCGGAACGGGAGCGAGCCGCUCCACUGGUCCGCCACCAGGCUCCCGAAGCUCUCGUCCCCCGCCGCCGCCGCCGCUGGCUCCUCCAGCAGGUGCUGCCGGAUGGUGUCCAGCACCAACGCCUCCGACGCCGGGUUCAGCAGCAUCCUUUCCUUCCUGGAAUCGAGCUCUCUUUCUGUUUGGUUUAUGAGCUGACGAAGCUAGGAGGGAGUGAGCUGUUUGUCGAAUGGGGAAAUGGGAAUGGAAGAAGUGAUGGAGUUGAACGGCGAGGGCUGGGCCGGGGGCCCGGUUUAUAUAGCCGGACGAGGGUUCACACCGGCGUCGCGGUUCGUUGAACUUUCCUACCCUGGAGCCACGUGACGGAAUGGGUUUUUUUUUUUUCGGGGUAAAAAUUAAAAUAAGCAGGGGUCGCGGCCCAGUUAGGCGACGCUAAUGCUAACACUAGUGCUGCUGACUGCAAUCUAGUAGUCGAGCAGUUUGCGGGGAGGGCCCGCUCGCUUUCCGCGCCCGGCCGUUGGUUAGAUUAGAUUAGAAGGAUCGGAUUAGCAAGCGGUCCGGUGGCGUGCGUCAGCGAUGAGGUCGGCGUCAGCUGGAGGUGGAUCGCGGGCGGGCGGGCGGGCUCAUCCCGUCCCGUCCCGUCGUGGCGUGGGGGCACGAAGGCGCAGGGGCUCGGGGUCGUCGUGCCUCGUGCUCGUGCUCGUGCGUGCCGCGGCGCUGCUGUUGGCCCGUGCCGUGCCACCGCUCGGUGCUUUCUAGAUGGUCCGACGCCUGCCCUUCCUGCCCUGGUCUUGCCCGUGCCCGGGGCGCAUAUGCGCCUCGGGGCAUCGGGCUAAUUCACACGGCGAUCCCGUGAUGAUCAAGAAGGGACGACACUUCUUUUCGUCCAAAAUAAAAGAAAGGCAAGCGAGGCCUUUUCCCCAUGUCUUUUGGUGAUUAUUAUUAUUAUUAUUACGAAAAGCUCUUCGAAUCGGGUCUCUUCAGAAGCUGACUUUUGUAGAUAAUCUAGAUAAUCUCGUGACACCAAGCCCUGAGCUCCUGACCUGCAUGCAUUUCUCUCGUGUUCUUGUAGACGAGAGGCAUUUUGUUCCAAUUGAAAAUUCCACCGCCGUAAGCAGAUCAAAGAGCGCGGAAUCGACAGCCGGGGAGCCGUGACAAGACCAAGACCUGUCUGUAUUCAAUGCGGUGGCCCUGUCGUAGGAAGAAAUGGCGUGGAAGUCAUGUGGUGCAUUGCUUCUAGACCACCGUCUCGUGGUUGCACUAGAACACGAGAGGAUAGAGACGGCCACCGCUUUUGUGUUGGGGACCGCCAUAUGAGGAGACGAGAACAGUAGUAGCGCUUGAAAGCAUCAACAGCUACUGUCCUCUGGACUUCUGAAAAUCUGAACGAAGAGGUACGCUGUAGGCUGCAGGCUGCAGCGUGCCUUGUUUCCUUCCCGCUGAGCUUCUAGUUCUAGAUAUGUACUACUACUCGUAUCAACGUAGCGUGAUCGUCCAAAGGCGGAUGAUCUGAUCCACUCAUCCUGGUAUCCACGCACGUUCGUAAUAAUACCCUCAUUGCCGGUGUAGUUUGUAGUGUACCAUUGGGACUUGGGAGUAUCCAGAAAACGUUGGCAGUUUUCGUUACGACCGAUAUGGUGCAAUGGCAGGAACUGAGUGUGGACUGAAAGAUUUCGGCCGUGUUUACUUCCCGAACCAAAAAAUUUCGUGACACUGUAGCAUUUUCGUUUGUUUAUGAUAAUUAUUGUCCAAUUAUAGACUAACUAGGCUCAAAAGAUUUGUCUUGUAAAUUUCGACCAAACUGUACAAUUAGUUUUUAUUUUUGUCUAUAUUUAAUACUCUAUGCAAGCGUCUAAAGAUUCGAUGUGACGAAAAAUCUUGAAAAUUUUAGAUUUUUGGGUGGAAGUAAACAAGGCCUUCAGGGCCGUAACGUCCUUUGCCAGCUAGCUAGGGUGAAUGGGUGAUCCUCGACUGCUAAGCUUUCUCUGUGACAGAUCUGAGACGAGCACAGACAUGCUGUUGUCCGAGAAUUGUUUUAACAGCGGGGCACGUGAUUUUCUCCGGAUCACGACUCCGGAGGACACAUUAGCUGUGUGGAAGUCUUGGAAAAGCUAUAUAUAUAUAUAUAUAUAUAUAUAUAUAUGGUCUCGAGAAGUUUUGUUCCAGCAAUCGAUUGCGACGCGCCUACUAUUUGCAUAACAUAGUGGAGUGUGGCCAGGGGGCUAGGGGCGUUUCGUCACUUUCUUCAGGAGAUGUGCGAAUUGGUAAAAUUUCAGGGUGCAUUGCCAGAAUCAGUUUAUAGCAUCAGUUUAUUACGAAACGACACUUGCACGAACGCUAGUUUCUUAAUCUCACGGCGAUGUCCAUUUAGAAAAAUUUCUGAGUUGCUUGUUGGAUAGUGAUCAGGUCCAUAGAAAAUUUUGCCCAUUGUUGGACAGUAGUGAUUCUUCGGAGAGCUGCUUAUAAGGUCUGAAUCGGAACAAAACCCGGCAGCUCAGACUUCUUAUCAAGGCUGAUGACGACGGUUUUAGGGUUUCAUUCGUUAAUGUCAUCGCUAGCUCGACACUGCCCCUGAUCCGGCCACAGGCUGCUGGUUUCCGGUGCCAACCACCAUCCGAAUAUCCGUCACUGAAAGCCAAACAAAGCAGCUAGCUCUAUCUAUGGGUGGGGGGCAGUACGCCACGCCACGCCACGCCAGGAACAGAGAGUUAAGACUAGUCAAAGGUCAAGACGGACUUUGACCGUGGACUAGUCCGGAGCUGCAGGCCCCAGCCCCCACGUCUGGGCUCCAGUCUACAGAAGAGGAGGCCGUGCCACUACCAUCGGGUCGGGAUGGAGGUCACGGGCGCAGCGAAGACUUGCCUUGUCGUGCGUGCAGGAGACGUCAUGAUCCACGGCCUCAACGGCAGCGGCAGCUUCUCGGCUCCUUCCUUCCUGCCUGCCGUCAUGCUUCUGCUGCCUGCUCGUACAGGCACAACGCUUCCUUCGUGUACCGUCACUGCCGUCCGAUCUGGAACGGACGCCCCCGUAUUGACUUCCACCCCAUACAGGAUCGAUCGACAUGUACAUGCCGAUGUGUAUUGUGGCGCAGUAUAUAUAGUCAUGGGACUAGGGCCUUGUUUAGUUCACCCUGAAAACUAAAAAGUUUUCAAGAUUCUCCGUCACAUCGAAUCUUGUGUCACAUGCAUGAAACAUUAAAUAUAAACGAAAACAAAAACUAACUACACAGUUUAGCUGUAAAUCACAAGACGAAUUUUUUGAUCCUAGUUAGUCCAUGAUUGGAUAAUAUUUAUCACAAACAAACGAAAAUGCUACAGUUCCGAAAAGUUUUCACUUUUCGGAACUAAACAAGGCCUAGCUACGAAGAAAUCAAAGGACCCUGUUGACUCCACUGCCCAAUCUGUUUAAGGGCCUGUUUAGUUUCCCACCCAAAAAAUUUUUCAUCCAUCCCAUCGAAUCUUUAGACACAUGCAUAGAACAUUAAAUGUAGAUAAAAAAAUAAACUAAUUACACAGUUAAGUUGAGAAUCGCGAGACGAAUCUUUUAAGCCUAGUUACUCCAUGAUUAGCCUUAAAUGCUACAGUAACCCACAUAUGCUAAUGACAGAUUAAUUAUGCUUAAUAAAUUUGUCUUGCAGUUUCUUGACGAGUUAUGUAAUUUGUUUUUUUAUUAGUUUCUAAAAAACCCUCCCGACAUCCUUCCGACACAUUCGAUGUGACACCUAAAAAAAUUUUCAUCCCCAAUCUAAACCGGCCCUAAGCUUGAGGCGACAGCAACGGCAGGCGACAGUCGGAACUUCCGAAGACCUUUAUCUGGUCUUCAACGUGCUGAAGACUUCACUCCCGCCUACCUGUAGCUUUUCUCACUGCCUGCCUGCGGCUGCACUCCAAAGCAUCGGAUGUGGUUUUACCUGAGAGGAGUAGUCCAUCUUGUCCACGGUCUCCCCAAGGACUCUGACCGCACGUUUCAUCAGUUAAGUCGAUGGCAUCAUCAAAUGCUAAAAACUUUGCGGCGAGAAUCGUCAAGGGGCGCUUGAAAACGACGGUGUUUUCUAUUCGGUGUACGUGCGAAUCGACCUUUCCACGAAGCACGAAUUAGUCCAAGUUGGAAGAGGGCACUACCUUCUCGUCUUCUCCGCAAGGCCACGACGCGGCUUUGUUUAGUUCACUCCGAAAUCUAAAAAAUUUUCAAAAUUCUCUGUCAUAUCGAAUCUUGCGACACAUGCAUGAAGCAUUAAAUAUAGACGAAAACAAAAACUAAUCACACAGUUUAACUGUAAAUCACGAGACAAAUCUUUUGACUCUAGUUAGUAUAUGAUUUGAUAAUAUUUACUACAAACAAACGAAAGUGCUACCGUUCCGAAAACUUUUCAUUUUCGGAACUAAACAAGGAGUGCGCGCGGCACACAGCCACAUGCCGUGGCACUUCUAUGUCUCGGGAAAGCUUCGAUGACUGAGGCCCUUGUUUAUUUUCAAAAAAUUUUGCAAAAUUUUUCAGAUUCCUCUUCACAUCAAAUCUUUAGACGUAUGUAUGAAAUAUUAAAUAUAGACAAAAAUAAAAACUAAUUGCACAGUUUGGUCGGAAUUGACGAGACGAAUCUUUUGAGUCUAGUUAGUCCAUGAUUGGAUAAUAUUUGUCAAAUACAAACGAAAGUGAUACUAUUCCUAUUUUGCAAAAUUUUUUGAACUAAACAAGACCUAAAGCUGCUCGGCUCUUUCUGCUCUGCCUGCGCCCAUGUACACGAGUAGGAUCGACGUCUUGACGUGCACAAUCGAAGCUCCUCAAUCUCGGUCGUACGUGAUUACUGUUUGCUUAAUUAAGCUGUAUGCAUGUUUAUUAGUGUACAGCAGAAGCUACCUCGAUAGAUUAAUAUCCAAAGUGCCUAUCAGAUGAUGCAUGCUGAAUUCUUUGUUAUUUAGCAAUUAACAAUUUGACUUUUAUCGUUCUAUUCCCAAAUGCAUUGCUCAACGUAUCGGGUAUAAACCUAGCGAACCGAGUGUCAACGAAGUAUGCAGUACCUAACAGUGAUGCCUGUACAAGAGACAAACGAGUUCGCGCGAUGAGCAUGCAAGUGUCACCGAUGGAGCCGUACCCGAUGACCAUGAGAGUAUGAGACCUCUGCCUGAUCCAAUCCAAAUCCAAUCCACGACUAGCUAUCCCUGAGCAAAGCAAACGGAAGAUCUCCUUUCUGCAAAGCCCUUUUCACACACCUAUCGUCAAAAACCGUUUCCUUGUCCCGUUGUCCCGAGUCCUCCUGAACUCCUGAUGUGACAUGCAUGGCCGAUGGAGUGAACAGUGAUGGCUCAUGGCUCUCCGCGCGCAAAGAGGAUCGAUCGAUCCAUCGGCGAAAGGUUCCCUUCAUCGACGUCAAGUCCAGCGACCAAUGCAAAGAAGCCCAGCGCGCGCGACUCGCACGAUUCGUCGUACUCUUAUAGAGAAAUGAUAGGGCGCGCUUAUACCAUAAAAUUUUGGCAAACCAAUGGCAAUAUAAGCCAACAAAUUUCAUAAGUUGCUUUGGCAACAUAAUAAUUUGACCAAUAUUAAAGCUUUUAGCAUAUAUUUUCCACACCAAAAUUAGAGAAGUUUGUUUUUUAAAUUAAGAGAAGCCAUACAUACUAAUACUAAUAGUUCUAAACUGACUUCACCAAAUCAUUCGAUGAUUCAUCCUUAAUCAAUUUUUAAACAAUUAACUAUGUGAAAAGGGCAAAUAAAAAAUGAAGAUACCUGCAACCCGGCGCAGGUUAUUAGGUUCCGCAAGUUUGUGAAUUAGCGAGAAAGAAGACCAGAAAGUCAGAAGUCGAGAAUAGCGAGAAACAUAAGAAAGGUCAAUCGUAUUCUUAUUGCAACCACACAUGAUAGUCCAAGACGUCUAAGUUUGUCUUCAAAACCUCCGUCAGAUACUCGAGGAGCCUAUUUUUAUUUUGCACUAAUCUCUAAAAUUUCCAUAGAAUUCAGAUCAAUCCUAAGAGGACCUAGGGCGGCCGCCCUGGCUCGCCCUGGUGGUGGAUCCGCUAUGCUCUUAUCAGCGUGACAGCGAGGGUGUGUGUGGGAAGCGGUGGAGUUGUGGCAGUCUCCUCCUCCGCUAAUAUGUUCGCGUUUGCGUGCGAAACCAAACAAACGCCUCGAAGCGGAAAUAUGCAUAUAUAGCGCAAUAAUUUAUGCGGGGUAAACUCAAGCCAUGGACGUCUCCAGCGAUGUGCCGCGAUCGUAUAUUACGUUAAUAUAAAUAUCUGCAAUUUAUAUGUGCUCCGAUCCUUCUACGCUGUUUCGGCCGUUGUUAGAGUCUCCGAUAAUCUGGCGGAUCCAUUUUUCCACGCUUGAUGGAACUGGGUCGAGUGGAAAAAAAAAAAUUAAAGGCUCUGUUGCGUGGGUGAGGAUGAGACUCUGGAACGGCUAAUGGCAUGCUGACACACAGGCCGUCAUCGCACGAUCGUCUCACGUGCAGCCGCGAGUACACUGUACGCAGUACACGCGUACGGGAGGGCGAUACGUGCCAAGCCAAAGACUUUUCCGCAUUAGCGAGGUGCUAGCUUAGCUCCAUGUCCAUCCAUCAGGUUUCUUAUUUUAGAUUAGAUCCGAGCUUUUGCACCAAAUUAAACAAUCCCACGAAUCAACUGGGGACGGAGACGGGUUUGGCUACGUAGUACUGGCCCCAGUGGUGGCAGCAUACACUGAAUCUGGCUCCACGAAUCAUCAGGUUUCUUAUAUAUCACCACACAUGCUUCAGUGCUGCUCAGACUUUUCAGACUUCCUUUUUAAUUCAGGCUCCAGAAAUUCGUGUUUUCUGUUGUAUUACGGCCUUCAAUUUCUAUAUAUAUAUACAAGUACUGAAGUACGACAAGCGUUAUACGACGUAUGUGCUCCGUGGAUUAUUGAGGCGCUAGUCCCCGUGAGUUUCAGACUUUGUGUUCGUGGGGAUAAGAAUGAGAUUUUCCGUGAUAAAUCCACAUCUAUAUCAGGCAUCAGUGUCUUGUAGGCCUGGCAUCAUUUGCGGAAUCGCCGACGUGGACGUGUGGCGCCAAGUUGGCUGCCCCGUAUGGCCGUAUUGGGUUCAUCGCAUCCAGGCCGGAAAACGAAAGUCCCCACCUGAACGGAAAGUUUUUUUUUUUUCUUUUGAGCUCAAAAUGGCCCUCAUGGCCUCGAACGAAAUCCGCAUGGAGGCAUCAUGGAUAAAAUAUGAGCCUCGCGUGCAGCACCAUACACUGCACAUGUACAAGAGAGACUUAAUUAUGGAUGCAACGGACCGGCAAAGACGCGAAGUGACAGCCACUCGCCCCUUGGAAGCUCGCUUGAUCACCUCUCGCAUCCAUGCAGUCUGGUUUAUUUUGGUUUACCAUAGCUAGUUCACUACUUUCUCCUUUCAAAAAAUAGCAGUCGUUCUCUUUUUUUUUAAAGAAAUUAUUUUUUUAAUUUUAAUAAAGUGUAUAUAAAAAUAUUGAUAUCUAUAAUACAUAAUUAAUAUCAUUCGUUGAAUAUAUUUUUAUAAUAAAUUUAUUUAAAGUUAUACAUAUUUUAUGUAAAUCUAGUUAAAAUUGAGAAAGUUGAUAACGGUUGAAGUACACCCCAGUCCCUGAGGCAAAGCCGUUUAGAUUUCACAUAAAGGUCCCGUUUGAUUUCCCUUGCUAAAUUUUAGCUAGCUAAAAUUAUUUUAGCUACACUUGAUGACUAUUGAAACUAAACUAUUUUAGCUACUUUUAGUCAAUGUGUUUGGAACUUUAGCUACUAAAGUAACUAAAAUUUAGCAAGUGGACCAAACAGGGCCAAAGUCUCCAUGCAUUCGAUUGAAUGGAGUUAUAAAUAAUCAUUUAAAAAUGUCCUCUGAUCGAGCAGUAUAUGUAUGAUGGAAAUAAGUUAUAAUCAUAUAUGGAUUAAUUUAUUAUUUUUUAUGCGACCUGUGUGGGUGAUGUGCCGUUGCAUCGUAUCAUAGGAGAAAGCAAGUCCAACAAUUACAGGACAAAUUGCUAAACCAAAAGGACCGAAAAAAGAACAGGCAGCUUUUGCCGCCGCGAUGCUAAUAAGGCCAGGCCCAACGCACCAGCGUGGCUUGUAGCCUCGGCUUCCACGUCCGCACCAGACUGCCACCUCAACUCGAUUGAUGGCCUCGCAGUUGGUGAUGGGAUCUUGCAGAAGCAGCGUAUGCUUCGUCAGGUAAAAGCUGCAGGCAGCUAGCAAGUUUUGCGUUGGAUGAACGAGGCACCCAAAUACAUACUAUGAGGAAGUCUGCAACCGAGUAAAAAGCAAAAGCAACUUCUGUGUAGGUGAUGAAAGCAGUGGGUCUUCGUUGUAUUGCUUUGGAUGGGAGUUUUGAAGCCUAGAAAUUUCAUGUCUACAUGGACGGUACCUUUUUGCUGAGGCUAAUAAACUUGUUAGCCUCGGUUGGGGAAGCCCUAAUGGUACCUGAGACUGUAGGAUAUUCCUGCAGUCCUGCUGCUAUAGAUUGCACACAUGGCUGUUAUGCGAGAUACUAAGGCCUUGUUUAGUUUCCAAAAAAUUUUGCAAAAUUUUUCAGAUUUCCUGUCACAUCAAAUUUUUAGAUGUAUGCAUGGAGUAUUAAAUAUAGACGAAAAUAAAAACUAAUUACACAGUUUUGUCGAAAUUGACGAGACGAAUCUUUUGAGUCUAGUUAGUUCAUGAUUGGACAAUAUUUGUCAAAUACAAACGAAAUUGGUACUAUUCACAUUUUGCAAAAUAUUUUACAAGUAAACGAGGCCUAAUAACAAAGCGCACUGUGACGGCCACUUGGCCAAUAUAUAUAGUUCCAUGCUCCAGCUGGCCACUGGCCCAGUGCGUGCAUGGCUGCGUCGAGCGACACAUCUCUCCAUGCAACGCACAACAGAGAAAAAGACAUCCAUGGCACUUUCAGGAAACCAAACCAGGCUUUAAAAUUUCGACCCGUCUAGAUGCCAUGAACCCCCCUUAGGCCUUGUUUAGUUCACCCAAAAAGUAAAAAGUUUUCAAGAUUCCCCGCCACAUCGAAUCUUGCGGCACAUGCAUGAAGCAUUAAAUAUAGAUAAAAGCAAAAACUAAUUACAUAGUUUAGCUGGAAAUCGCGAGACGAAUAUUUUGAUCCUAGUUAGUCUAUAAUUGGAUAAUAUUUGUCACAAACAAAUAAAAGUCUUACAGUACCGAAAUCCGAAAUCUUUUCGGAACUAAACAAGGCCUUAGAUCGUUGGUCACUGAUCAGCGUCCAGAUCACGCCUACGCGGCCUACCUCGUCAGGGUCGGAGCACCCAAAAGUUGCGUCGCCUUGCGAUUAUCUGUCCUCCAGCUACCAUUGCUCACAGAGUCACAGUAGCAUCCACCAAGUGGUUCCUGCAAGGUGUUCCUUCCUUCCUUUCUGGGCUCUGUCUGAACCGUCCCUGGUAAUCCUGCAGGCAGUAGUUUGCUCUGUUUGGUUUUUGCCACCUGAAAAAAGCGUCUUCACUCUUCAGGUUCAGUAGUGCGUCAUGUUCAUGGACAUCAAAUUUUAUAGCUAGGAGUAGUAGCUAGUACUAGCAGAGAGGUGCUUGAGCUGCCACUAUAGAUAGAUUGGGCAAUAUGCAAUGAUCUGUGCGGGCGCACCUCUGGGCACUGCAAUACGCUGCGCCGCCGUUUUGUAAAGAGAAAACCGCUCGCGCUUAGGAGUACACGUGUCGCCUUAGAAUUCAUGGAAAUAUUUAGUUAUGCGGCUAGCUUUACCUGCAACUUUGGCAGCAUUGCAAUUGCAACAAGCACUGCAGUAUCAGGUGAUCUUUUGGCUCUUAACUUUAUUUACCUUUUCUUAAUUUUUCUAAGGAAGCUUUAUAGGACAUGUGAAGGCCGAGAAAGGCCCAGAAAUACCGUAGCUCGCGUACGAUUCCAGAAGGUCCACUGACAGCCCACUAUCCAUGCAGAAGCAUUCGGCCCAUCAACAAACUGUUUUCACUCUGCUGGCCCACAAUUCUCUUUCGGCCUCUCCACGUUCGCAGUUUAUCUAUAUUUAUUUUCUGUUCCUUUUUUCUACUUCAGAACAAACGGUAUAUGUUUGUUGCUCCAUUUCAAAUUAUAGUAUAUGUCAGUUGUUUUAAGUCAAACUCUGAUCAAAUUUAUAAAAACUGGUAUAUGUUUGUUGUACUAGUAUUGGGUAUCAGAGAAAUAUUGGGUACUAGUAUUGGGUAUUAAAUUUGGAAACAUGAUUCACUUGAUCCGAAAUUUUUCAGAUAAUCUGAAUCUCCACCCCUAGCCCUAAGGAGAUUUUAGCGUCUCUGCCGGAAUCUGAAACAUCACGAGUGUAGACAUACUAUAUAUUUGGAGGCUUUGCAGACUUCCUUUUCAGUUUAUCUUGGGUCACCUGACGCAUUCAAUUCUGUGCCCAUCUCUUGAAUUUUCUCAGCGCAGAACCGCUCAGACGCUCACACUUGUAGGAUGCCCCGUUUCUAAUACACUGUUCCUCCUCUAGUCUCAUUCAUAGUGAUAGUGAGUAUACAGGCUACAGUGGGCUCAUUCGUAGUACUGUACUACUGCGAGACGGCACCUGUUCAAACUUGUCAUCCGGAAAAAAGGAAAACACACGCCAUUUCCUUGACAAGCUUGGGACCUGGAUCCGGCGUGGAUGAGGCGACCGAUCGAUGAUCCAGUCCUCCCGACUCCACGCCGUCUCUGUCAGCAAGAGCCCGCGAGCGAGGUCCUCGAGUCGACACGCAUUGAAGCAGGUGGCAGAAACCCAGACGUCACGUACACCGGCCGGCCCGCUGCCCCCCUACUCGAUCGUGUUCCAUCCAUCCGGCCAGCCCAGACAUGCAUGCAUGGCAUCCGGCGCAACGAGACGCUCGCUCAGCUCAGCCGUCGUCGCAUUGACAAAAACUCAGCCCGGCCCAGCGCCCCGAAGCUUCCCCCACAGUCACCACACAUCAGGGCGUGCCGCUGCGCUCGCGGUUUUGCAUGUUCCCCCUGUUGUGUUGCCGCACGAAUGAAAAUCAGUGUGGGUGACCUUGCGAUGGAUAAAACUGAUCUUAUCUCUCUUUUUAAAUACAUAUUUAUAUGAUAAACAACCUAUUUAAUACAAAUAAAACUCCGACGAAACUCCCACGAGGCCUUGUUCAGUUCUCAAAAUUUUGGAUUUUUGGACACCGUAGCAAUUUUAUUUUUAUUUGACAAAUAUUAUCCAAUUAUGGACUAACUAAGUUCAAAAGAUUCAUCUCGUGAUUUACAGAUAAACUGUGUAAUUAAUUUUUUAUUUUCAUCUAUAUUUAACGCUUCAUACAUGUGCCAUAAGAUUCGAUAGGAUAGAGAAUCUUGAAUUUUUUUUUUUAAGCUAAACAAGCCUUUAAGUUCGGCCCAUUGAGCGUGCUGUCGACUGGCCUGGUCGAGCGAUCGCUUUCCCCCCAGGCCGAGGUCAUUCGGUCCGGUGAGCUUCCGAGUGAGUUUCCCUGAUGAGAAUCCCGUACGCGCACUCUCAACUUCGAGAGUCCUCACUCCUCUGGAACUGGAAAUCAUGUGCACACCGUUCUGAUCCACCUCUGAAGAAAAGCCGUGGAUGCAGAGUGUGGUGACACGACACGACACGCGAUCGAUCGAUCCAUGCAUAUACCGCAUACGUUCAAAUCUAUGCUUCAGUUUUAAAUUCCUGCGUCAAUAUGUAUACGCAAACGCAGUUGUAACAUCGCGCUGGUUUUGGUUGGUUGGAGCUUAGCGGUGACGGUGAAUUACUUUAUUCGUUUACUCGUUAUUACCCAAGGACGAUCCGGGUCAAAUAGACCAGUAUCCCGCAACGGAACUGAUCAUGUGCCAUAUACUGUAUUUUUUUCUAGUAGGAUAGUGAACGCUUUGGCAUGUACUCAAUACAUUUGUUAGUCAAAAUCUCCCAAUUCUUUUUAACCAUCUUCGCAUGUCUUUUAGUGUUUGAGUCCAUGCAUGCAUGCCUAGUGUGUAUAACUGUAAUACCCGAUUUUAAGGACAAAACCAGAUAUACACUAUAUAUGAGUUUUAGAAGUCAAUUCUCAUAUAUAGCUACAAAUAAGGGGUAAUAUCAAAAGACAAUGCAUAAAUAUAUAACGUACUUAGUAUAAAAGAGAUAACCUUUGAUAACAAACAGCGGAUAGACAACUCCAAACUUCGGGUAUUAACUUCUCUCUACAGGAUCCAACUGACUGGUUGAUCACAAGCCUAAACUUCUCCUGAGGUUUGGGGAAAUAGCAAGAGUGAGUCCAUGUCGAACUCCACAAGUAUAGCAACUAGAUUGUAUAGCUCCCACAAGCUUAUGAUCAAUGUGACAUAAAUUAUGUAAAGCAUUAAACAAUAAAUAAUGAGCAUAUUUAACACAUAGGAAUCAUUAUCGUCGCAGCAAGAAUCCCCAAGGCCGCUCCUGACCGUGAGCUCGGCUAGUAUACUAGUUUUUAACCCUCUGCAGAGGUUGCACAUCUUUACCCAUGAGUCAUGAUUUACCCUUUCGCCCGAGGUAGCUAAUCUCUUAACCCCCUUCCUAGGGAGGUCGGCAGGGAUCACUAUGAAGUCUUUCAAAGGUUCGUCUAACAAGUUAGGGCCGCUUGGUUUCAUUAGUCAGUCCGUGUGAUUCACCCGCAGGAAUCCACGGUCUGCUAUUCCCCAAUUGCGCCACAACGGGUAACCGCUAACGAGCUAGAAAAGUUACUCAUACUUAACUAAAGCCAGAGCCAUUAUAGCCCUCAUGGUUGCACUGUUGUCCCGGUUAUCACUUACAGAUAAAUCAUCAAGUUGCUAAAAAGUCAUUUUUAUCGUUUAUUACUUAACAUUAAUCUAGCCACAGGAUCAUGGUCACAGAAAUAAAACCUAAAUGCUAUACUUGCCUUAAUCCAAAUGCUCUUGCUUAUCCUUUUGGUUCUGCUGGUCUCACUUGUUGCCAAAGCUUUGAUCUUGAUCACCGAAACUGCUCUCCGUCUAAACUCGAUCAUCGAUCACACAAACAAUCGGAGAAAACAUACACGAAGCAAACAAGGCUAUAAUUAGAACAGUACACCAAGCAUAUAAAAACAGUAUGAAAAGUUUAUAAAAUAAUUCUACGCAUCGCUAUGAUCUCACAAACGUAAAGAUCACGAAAAUCGGAGCUAAAACGGAGGAGAUAUGAUUUUUCUAAGAUUUUAUAUAGAAAAGUAAUUAAUUAAUUAAAGUCACAAAAUUGCAAAGUUUCAAACUGGUGAAUUAAGUUUACUAACAUGUAGAGCUCAUUAUUACUAAUCCAACGCAAUUUGAAUGGUCAAAAACGGAGUUAAAACAAAUAUUUUAUGAGCGAAAUACUGUGAAUGGCAAACUUGUAAUUAUCUAAAAGCGUAUUUUUUUCUUAAGCCGGCAGAGAAUACGUUUUCCAAAUUUGGAAAGCGUAAACCUGCUCGGGCGCCAGGGACUGCGGGUUUAUUUCUAAAUAACUCCGGGGACUCUUUAGCAAAAGUGGCGGCCGAAACGGUAACUUCUGUUCUCGGACGCAGGAUCACGAUCCGACGGUGGGGAUUCAAUCUGGGCGCUGAACUGGCCGACGGUGGCCGGAACAGUGGCACCCGCGGCGACGCCAUGGCCAGGACAUUGCCGGAGCUCGGGAAAUCACGCUACGGUGCGUCAAACUCAAAACCGCGACCAUGGAAACGGAAAGGAGAUCGAUGCGAGCUCACCUAGGGCGAAACCGAGCGUAGGAAGGACGCGGACACGGCUGACGUCGAAGAAUGGCGGCCGGACCCCCUUCCUGCAAGUUCGACGCCGGUUAGGGAGUCGCUGGAAACACUAGAAGCUUUAGGGAACGGACCUGCGGCUUCGCAAGGGCUUCUCCAACAUCGGCAACUACUCACCCGAGCACAAACGCGACGAACACGAAAUUCGCUGAGGCGGAUUGACCCCGGGUCCGCCGAGAUCCGAAAAUCGGUGAUGGCAAGGGCUAGGGUGGCUCCAUGAGCGCGUAGAUUGGAAAGGAGGGUCGAGAAGGAGAUCACGAGGCUUAAAAAGGCUCGGCUUUGGCGGAUUUGGCAGAAAAUCCCGUGCGAAUCGGGAUUUAGCUCCCGAUCGGGAGUCCUGCACGGCUCCGACUAAAGGUUGAAGAAGACCGGCUGACAGGUGGGGUCACAGUGUCAGAGAGAAUAAAGAAUAGGGCCCAGUUGACAGAGGGGAGGUGCGGCUUGGAUGGCCGAGUGGGCCGCUGCGAUGCAAUGGGCCGGGGUGCGAUCGGAGCUGGGCGUUGGGCCUCGCGAAGAAAGGAAAAAGGGGGAGGGAAGCUGGGCCGCGCGCGCUGGUUAGGGAGUAGGCCGGAAGGGGGAGGAAAGGAGGAGUGGGCCUUCGGGCCAGAAUCAGGUGGGGAGAGUUUUGGUUUGUUUUUUUUUUUUCCUUUUUCUUUUAUUCCAAAGCCAUUUGAAACUCUAUUUGAAUUUUGAGUUCAAAAACACUCAGCACAGUAAACAAAAUGCAGAAGCAUGAGUGCACAAAAUUGUCGCUACACUCUAUGAUAGAUUUUAUUUUGAUAAAAAUAUUAUUUCUCUAUUUUUCAUGAACACAAAAAUACAAAACUAAAUCAUUUUCCACCUAUUUCAAAAGUUUUAAAAUUUUGGGUGUUACAAAUCUACCCCCCUUAAAAUGAAUCUCGUCCUCGAGAUUCGAAAGAGGCACGGGUUCCAAAAAGAGAGAUAGGAAAAAGAUCUUGAUCAUUAUUUCAACUUGACAACUUGUAUUCCAAAUGCAAGCACUUAUGUUUCGAGAUUACAACUUGUGAACAAAACUUCCAUAAGAUGUCUAUUAUUCGUAAUUGCUCACUGUCCAUCUUGACUACCAACUUUUUGACUUAUACAACUCAAAGGCAUGAUAACUUAGCAUGGGUAUGCCUCCUCAGGUAGGAGUGGACCACCUUGAUACUCAAUUCUUUUCCCUGAUGGUGCGGUUAAGAAAAUUUUCCACUGGGUAGCAUAGAUCACUGCCUUGUGUGCACAUAACCAUCCAUUGCCAAGAACCAAAGGAAUAUUGAGUGACUCUAGCACAAUGAGGUUUACAGUGAAGUUUUCCUUCUUUAUGACAAGAUUGAUAUUUGAGCAAACCUGAUCUGCCUGUAUUUCUUCCAUUGGGGUUUGAACUAACAAAGGCUUUCUUGUCGGACACUUCACCCGUUCGAUUGUCUUUACCAAGUCAGCGGAAAUAAAAGAAUGCGAAGCACUUCGGUCAAACAGAGCAAAAACUAGUACUGAGUCCACUUGAAUAUAGCCUCCCACCACUUUGGUGGCUCCUUGAAUGUUAUGCCUAUCCACAUUGUUCAGUCUUCCAUUGAUAUAAUUUGGCUGUACUUUAUUUCCAGGAGCGGGCUUCUUACGAGCUUUCCUUUUACGCUUCCGUCGUUGUGGAUUUUGAUUUGAUUCGUUGUCAACUUGCUCUUCCCUAUUAUUAUUUUGAUAACACUCAGCUUUGUCAUACUCAUAGCAUCUUUCUUCAAAAUCAAGAUGAUCAUAUUCUUCCCACCUAUCCAUGAGAGGUGUCAUAUUGUGCUCCGGAUUCAUGGGACACUACACUCCCUGUCAUCAAGUGACCAACGUCAGUAACACGGCAAGGAUAGAUGAUCAUAACCAUAGAAUAUCUUAGAAGACAAUUAUCACUCCAAGCUAGUCUUAAAAUGCAUCACUCGUGAUAUCAAGGUACUACCCCUCUUAAAAUGAGAUUGAUUGGGGAACACUAGGGACUACUUCUCCUAUCCUUUUUAGACGCUACACAUCAUAUAGUCUUUUAAAAUUCGCUGUACUGAGUCUCUUGUUCCAACAUUAUCCAAUUCUUCUCCAUGUAACCCCUUUAUUUAGGCUACCCCCCUUAAUAAAGGUCAUCUAGGGGACACAAGAAAGGUAGCUAGCAUGUUUUCCAGACAAGUUAACUAACAUUGAGAACUUAUGACAUCCCAAAGAGCUUCUGUGCAAGAGAACAAACAUGUAUCCUGAAAUUUUUCCGCGAUAUGAAAAACACCAGCAUAGAAAAACAGGUAUAACUCCCAUUCAGUUAAUCCAAUAGAGUUGUAGCUUAUACCGUUAGAAAGAUUAUGAAAUUCCCUACAACUUUCCUGUAGAAGACGUCCUUAGGUUCUGUCUUUAAGCUCAGGUAAAACAGCCAAACAUAAUAUCCUUCCUGAUAAUAUCUCAGCAAAGAUGCAGUAAAUUCCAGAAAUUAUACCUCGAGCUACGUAACUCAUAUGGAGAUGAUCUUUAUAUUGUUGAAAAGCUUAUGAAAUCCUUUACAACUUUUGUAUACAACUUUUCCCCAGAUUCUGUCUUUAAGCUUGGCUGAGAAUAGGAAUUGCCAGAUCUAUCCAGAUUUUGAAACAGAACAGAAACAUCCAAUUGUAAAUAUCAUAUCUCAGGUUCUACUUAUCCAAAUAAGUUCCAGCUUAUACCGUUGGAAAGAAUAGAAAAUUGUCUACAACUUUUCUAUAGAAUACUCUUCCAAAUUCUAUAGUUAUAUAUGUCUAAAACAGUAAGCAACCGAAACUGGUCCAGGUUCUUGACAGCACAGUUGUAUCAUGUUGUGAUUUUUGUAACUUCCAAACCAUAACAGCCAUGAGGGUGAUUCUUGUGGUCAGAGAAAGAUCUUGGAGUCUAGUUGUUUCCAGAAAAAUUUAGUAAACUUUGCACGACCAGAUCUUGAUAUACACUAUGAUUAUUGCAGACUGCUCCAGAAAUCAGCAAAAGACAGAAACAGGAUAUAACCAAACCCAACUACUUAUGUCAUUACUCCGUAUGCCUUAGUUCUAUAAACUAAAUGAAAUUGUGAAGAACUUCACAAAAUCAUUACACUCAUUACAAAGAUCCAAAUCAAACAUAAACAUAAUAACAAGCAAUUAAGCAUUAAAGGUUCACAAGGCACACAAACUCAACUUUCGCUACUAGCGUUUUUAUUACACCAGGGGACACGGACACCUAUAUCUUAGACUUAGUGUGGUUAUCUUCACGAUGCAUCUGUUGCUUCUUUUGUGGACAAGAGCUUAUAUAAUGUCCUUCUUGUUGGCAGUGAUAACACCUUCUCUUAGCUGGUUCCUCUGUGAUGUUAUUUUCCACUGAAGUGUUGUUCGGUGUGUUAUCAACUUGCAUACUCUGAUGGUUUAUCUUUGCCUGGUUAGAUUUCUUUCUACAUUGCUUGAUCCUCCGAGGUUGAAACUCUCUAUAAGUAAUUGUCCACCCAUCUAUGCAUACCUCAUGAGCAGUGGGAUUAGCUUGGGGAAUUUGUUCAUCUCCAAGGUUUGAGUUUUCCUGACGAGAAUUUGAAGCUACAUGUGACAUCUUGGGAUUUGGGUGUUGAUCACUUCCCAAUCUCGGCUCUAGUGCUUUUGCCUUCCUCUUCUUAUCCUCAUUAGUCACACAGGUUGGUUUUGUCUUAACUUCCUUCUUAGAUGACAUAUUCCGAAGACAAGGAAGACCAUAAUGCUCACAACAGUGGCAUUGAUUCUGAUAUCCUGAUGUAUUACUCCCAACGCUUCCAUGAUUUCUCAUAUUUUUCCAAGCUUCUGCUACUUGUCUCCUCACGGGUCCUGAGAUACGUUGUUGAGAGUUCUUAUUCUGAGUUAUUCCUUCCACUACUUGUGUUUGCAUGGCUAGAAGCUUCUCCAUGUCGAAUGCUUUUACGGUUGGAAAAUCUGGUUGCUUUCGUUCCUUCUUGUCAAAGGUCUCCUCGUUAUGAUCCAUCUAAAGAGACAAAGAGAGAGGAUUUAGAAUAGAGACAAGAUUUUAUAAAAGAACUAGGCAAGAGGUAAGCAUAACUUUUAGCAACUAUCAAGGUCAAGGCGAAAAGCAAGAAGUAAGCAAAGAUGGAAGCAUGCCAAAACGUCCAGUUCUAACUAGGCUUGCGUCCUACAGUCAGCAUUGCUUUGAUACCACUUUGUAAUACCCGAUUUUAAGGACAAAACCAGAUAUACACUAUAUAUGAGUUUUAGAAGUCAAUUCUCAUAUAUAGCUACAAAUAAGGGGUAAUAUCAAAAGACAAUGCAUAAAUAUAUAACGUACUUAGUAUAAAAGAGAUAACCUUUGAUAACAAACAGCGGAUAGACAACUCCAAACUUCGGGUAUUAACUUCUCUCUACAGGAUCCAACUGACUGGUUGAUCACAAGCCUAAACUUCUCCUGAGGUUUGGGGAAAUAGCAAGAGUGAGUCCAUGUCGAACUCCACAAGUAUAGCAACUAGAUUGUAUAGCUCCCACAAGCUUAUGAUCAAUGUGACAUAAAUUAUGUAAAGCAUUAAACAAUAAAUAAUGAGCAUAUUUAACACAUAGGAAUCAUUAUCGUCGCAGCAAGAAUCCCCAAGGCCGCUCCUGACCGUGAGCUCGGCUAGUAUACUAGUUUUUAACCCUCUGCAGAGGUUGCACAUCUUUACCCAUGAGUCAUGAUUUACCCUUUCGCCCGAGGUAGCUAAUCUCUUAACCCCCUUCCUAGGGAGGUCGGCAGGGAUCACUAUGAAGUCUUUCAAAGGUUCGUCUAACAAGUUAGGGCCGCUUGGUUUCAUUAGUCAGUCCGUGUGAUUCACCCGCAGGAAUCCACGGUCUGCUAUUCCCCAAUUGCGCCACAACGGGUAACCGCUAACGAGCUAGAAAAGUUACUCAUACUUAACUAAAGCCAGAGCCAUUAUAGCCCUCAUGGUUGCACUGUUGUCCCGGUUAUCACUUACAGAUAAAUCAUCAAGUUGCUAAAAAGUCAUUUUUAUCGUUUAUUACUUAACAUUAAUCUAGCCACAGGAUCAUGGUCACAGAAAUAAAACCUAAAUGCUAUACUUGCCUUAAUCCAAAUGCUCUUGCUUAUCCUUUUGGUUCUGCUGGUCUCACUUGUUGCCAAAGCUUUGAUCUUGAUCACCGAAACUGCUCUCCGUCUAAACUCGAUCAUCGAUCACACAAACAAUCGGAGAAAACAUACACGAAGCAAACAAGGCUAUAAUUAGAACAGUACACCAAGCAUAUAAAAACAGUAUGAAAAGUUUAUAAAAUAAUUCUACGCAUCGCUAUGAUCUCACAAACGUAAAGAUCACGAAAAUCGGAGCUAAAACGGAGGAGAUAUGAUUUUUCUAAGAUUUUAUAUAGAAAAGUAAUUAAUUAAUUAAAGUCACAAAAUUGCAAAGUUUCAAACUGGUGAAUUAAGUUUACUAACAUGUAGAGCUCAUUAUUACUAAUCCAACGCAAUUUGAAUGGUCAAAAACGGAGUUAAAACAAAUAUUUUAUGAGCGAAAUACUGUGAAUGGCAAACUUGUAAUUAUCUAAAAGCGUAUUUUUUUCUUAAGCCGGCAGAGAAUACGUUUUCCAAAUUUGGAAAGCGUAAACCUGCUCGGGCGCCAGGGACUGCGGGUUUAUUUCUAAAUAACUCCGGGGACUCUUUAGCAAAAGUGGCGGCCGAAACGGUAACUUCUGUUCUCGGACGCAGGAUCACGAUCCGACGGUGGGGAUUCAAUCUGGGCGCUGAACUGGCCGACGGUGGCCGGAACAGUGGCACCCGCGGCGACGCCAUGGCCAGGACAUUGCCGGAGCUCGGGAAAUCACGCUACGGUGCGUCAAACUCAAAACCGCGACCAUGGAAACGGAAAGGAGAUCGAUGCGAGCUCACCUAGGGCGAAACCGAGCGUAGGAAGGACGCGGACACGGCUGACGUCGAAGAAUGGCGGCCGGACCCCCUUCCUGCAAGUUCGACGCCGGUUAGGGAGUCGCUGGAAACACUAGAAGCUUUAGGGAACGGACCUGCGGCUUCGCAAGGGCUUCUCCAACAUCGGCAACUACUCACCCGAGCACAAACGCGACGAACACGAAAUUCGCUGAGGCGGAUUGACCCCGGGUCCGCCGAGAUCCGAAAAUCGGUGAUGGCAAGGGCUAGGGUGGCUCCAUGAGCGCGUAGAUUGGAAAGGAGGGUCGAGAAGGAGAUCACGAGGCUUAAAAAGGCUCGGCUUUGGCGGAUUUGGCAGAAAAUCCCGUGCGAAUCGGGAUUUAGCUCCCGAUCGGGAGUCCUGCACGGCUCCGACUAAAGGUUGAAGAAGACCGGCUGACAGGUGGGGUCACAGUGUCAGAGAGAAUAAAGAAUAGGGCCCAGUUGACAGAGGGGAGGUGCGGCUUGGAUGGCCGAGUGGGCCGCUGCGAUGCAAUGGGCCGGGGUGCGAUCGGAGCUGGGCGUUGGGCCUCGCGAAGAAAGGAAAAAGGGGGAGGGAAGCUGGGCCGCGCGCGCUGGUUAGGGAGUAGGCCGGAAGGGGGAGGAAAGGAGGAGUGGGCCUUCGGGCCAGAAUCAGGUGGGGAGAGUUUUGGUUUGUUUUUUUUUUUUUUUUUUUCCUUUUUCUUUUAUUCCAAAGCCAUUUGAAACUCUAUUUGAAUUUUGAGUUCAAAAACACUCAGCACAGUAAACAAAAUGCAGAAGCAUGAGUGCACAAAAUUGUCGCUACACUCUAUGAUAGAUUUUAUUUUGAUAAAAAUAUUAUUUCUCUAUUUUUCAUGAACACAAAAAUACAAAACUAAAUCAUUUUCCACCUAUUUCAAAAGUUUUAAAAUUUUGGGUGUU
Molecule: long non-coding RNA, 25510 nt
Filed under: Sorghum bicolor (sorghum)
Lineage: Eukaryota; Viridiplantae; Streptophyta; Magnoliopsida; Poales; Poaceae
Description: long non-coding RNA (SBIC_LNC011350)
Source: RNAcentral